GGGUUGUGAGGUUAAGCGAAUAAGCGUACACGGUGGAUGCCUAGGCAAUCAGAGGCGAUGAAGGACGUGCUAAUCUGCGAAAAGCGUCGGUAAGGUGAUAUGAACCGUUAUACCCGACGAUAUCCGAAUGGGGAAACCCAGUAUCCAAUGGAUACUAUCAUUAACUGAAUCCAUAGGUUAAUGAGGCGAACCGGGAGAACUGAAACAUCUCAGUACCCCGAGGAAAAGAAAUCAACCGAGAUUCCCCUAGUAGCGGCGAGCGAACGGGGAGCAGCCCAGAGUCUUAAUCAAUAGCAGUGUCAGGAGAACGGUCUGGAAAGUCCGGCAGUAAAGGGUGAUAGCCCCGUAUCUGAAGAUGCUGUUAUUGUGAACUCGACGAGUAGGGCGGGACACGUGUUAUCCUGUCUGAAUAUGGGGGGACCAUCCUCCAAGGCUAAAUACUCCUGAUUGACCGAUAGUGAACCAGUACCGUGAGGGAAAGGCGAAAAGAACCCCGGCGAGGGGAGUGAAAAAGAACCUGAAACCGUGUACGUACAAGCAGUAGGAGCCUCUUUAUGGGGUGACUGCGUACCUUUUGUAUAAUGGGUCAGCGACUUAUAUUCUGUAGCGAGGUUAACCGUAUAGGGGAGCCGUAGGGAAACCGAGUCUUAACUGGGCGAAUGAGUUGCAGGGUAUAGACCCGAAACCCGGUGAUCUAUCCAUGGGCAGGUUGAAGGUUGGGUAACACUAACUGGAGGACCGAACCGACUAAUGUUGAAAAAUUAGCGGAUGACUUGUGGAUGGGGGUGAAAGGCCAAUCAAACCGGGAGAUAGCUGGUUCUCCCCGAAAGCUAUUUAGGUAGCGCCUCGUGAAUUCAUCUUCGGGGGUAGAGCACUGUUUCGACUAGGGGGUCAUCCCGACUUACCAACUCGAUGCAAACUGCGAAUACCGAAGAAUGUUAUCACGGGAGACACACGGCGGGUGCUAACGUCCGUCGUGAAGAGGGAAACAACCCAGACCGCCAGCUAAGGUCCCAAAGUCAUGGUUAAGUGGGAAACGAAGUGGGAAGGCUCAGACAGCCAGGAUGUUGGCUUAGAAGCAGCCAUCAUUUAAAGAAAGCGUAAUAGCUCACUGGUCGAGUCGGCCCGCGCGGAAGAUGUAACGGGGCUAAACCAUGCACCGAAGCUGCGGCAGCGACACAAUGUGUUGUUGGGUAGGGGAGCGUUCUGUAAGCCUGCGAAGGUGUACUGUGAGGUAUGCUGGAGGUAUCAGAAGUGCGAAUGCUGACAUAAGUAACGAUAAUGCGGGUGAAAAACCCGCACGCCGGAAGACCAAGGGUUCCUGUCCAACGUUAAUCGGGGCAGGGUGAGUCGACCCCUAAGGCGAGGCUGAAAAGCGUAGUCGAUGGGAAACGGGUUAAUAUUCCCGUACUGGUGGUAACUGCGAUGGGGGAACGGAGAAGGCUAGGUUGUCCGGGCGACGGUCGUCCCGGUUCAAGCAGGUAGGCAGAGUGAUUAGGCAAAUCCGGUCACUUAAUGCUGAGAUGUGAUGACGAACCACUAAGGUGGUGAAGCAAUUGAUGCCCCGCUUCCAGGAAAAGCCUCUAAGCUUCAGGUUACCAACAAUCGUACCCCAAACCGACACAGGUGGUCAGGUAGAGAAUACUCAGGCGCUUGAGAGAACUCGGGUGAAGGAACUAGGCAAAAUGGUGCCGUAACUUCGGGAGAAGGCACGCUGGCGGUAGGUAAAGUCCCUCGCGGACGGCGCUGAAGCCAGUCGAAGAUACCAGCUGGCUGCAACUGUUUAUUAAAAACACAGCACUGUGCAAACACGAAAGUGGACGUAUACGGUGUGACGCCUGCCCGGUGCUGGAAGGUUAAUUGAUGGGGUUAGCGUAAGCGAAGCUCCUGAUCGAAGCCCCAGUAAACGGCGGCCGUAACUAUAACGGUCCUAAGGUAGCGAAAUUCCUUGUCGGGUAAGUUCCGACCUGCACGAAUGGCGUAAUGAUGGCCAGGCUGUCUCCACCCGAGACUCAGUGAAAUUGAACUCGCUGUGAAGAUGCAGUGUACCCGCGGCAAGACGGAAAGACCCCGUGAACCUUUACUAUAGCUUGACACUGAACAUUGAGCCUUGAUGUGUAGGAUAGGUGGGAGGCUUUGAAGUGUGGACGCCAGUCUGCAUGGAGCCAACCUUGAAAUACCACCCUUUAACGUUUGAUGUUCUAACCUAGGCCCAUAAACUGGGUCGGGGACCGUGUCUGGUGGGUAGUUUGACUGGGGCGGUCUCCUCCUAAAGAGUAACGGAGGAGCACGAAGGUUGGCUAAGCAUGGUCGGACAUCAUGCGGUUAGUGCAAAGGCAUAAGCCAGCUUGACUGCGAGAGUGACGGCUCGAGCAGGUACGAAAGUAGGUCUUAGUGAUCCGGUGGUUCUGAAUGGAAGGGCCAUCGCUCAACGGAUAAAAGGUACUCCGGGGAUAACAGGCUGAUACCGCCCAAGAGUUCAUAUCGACGGCGGUGUUUGGCACCUCGAUGUCGGCUCAUCACAUCCUGGGGCUGAAGUAGGUCCCAAGGGUAUGGCUGUUCGCCAUUUAAAGUGGUACGCGAGCUGGGUUUAGAACGUCGUGAGACAGUUCGGUCCCUAUCUGCCGUGGGCGUUGGAAGAUUGAGAGGGGUUGCUCCUAGUACGAGAGGACCGGAGUGAACGCACCACUGGUGUUCGGGUUGUCAUGCCAAUGGCAUUGCCCGGUAGCUAAGUGCGGAAGAGAUAACCGCUGAAAGCAUCUAAGCGGGAAACUUGCCUCGAGAUGAGUCUUCCCUGUCGCUUUAAGCGACCUAAAGGAACGUUUAAGACUAAGACGUUGAUAGGCUGGGUGUGUAAGCGUAGCGAUACGUUGAGCUAACCAGUACUAAUGAACCGUGAGGCUUAACCUGACAACACCGAAAGUGUUUUG
Molecule: ribosomal RNA, 2930 nt
Filed under: Proteus mirabilis
Lineage: Bacteria; Pseudomonadati; Pseudomonadota; Gammaproteobacteria; Enterobacterales; Morganellaceae
Description: bacterial LSU rRNA
Rfam family: Bacterial large subunit ribosomal RNA
Source: RNAcentral